RNAcentral lists this long non-coding RNA (23588 nucleotides) under Panax ginseng (ginseng). Its description in RNAcentral is "long non-coding RNA (PGIN_LNC018590)". Lineage: Eukaryota; Viridiplantae; Streptophyta; Magnoliopsida; Apiales; Araliaceae. The record is from RNAcentral.
UUUAAUCAAAACCCACAACACAAAUCCAGAUUUUAUUCCUCUCUCUAUCGAAACCUUGACCUUCGUGGCUUCAUAUUUUUGCAGCUACAUUUUUCUGUCUCCUGCUUUGAAGCACACCGCUCAAUUUUCUCUCCCCUUCAUUUUUUCUUCUUCUAUCCUUUCACAUUUGAGACCAAAAAUUCAUGUGAAUCACGCUUUGAAUGAUGAUCCAUUUGGUUUGUGAGAAAAUGAUCCGGAGAAGAAAAGCUUAGCUUGUUGCAACUGGCCUUUUCGCUUUUCUAUGCUUUACGGAACACUUUCAGUAUCCGGUAAAUAAUCAUAAUUGCUCAAUUUUCUCUCAAAUGAUUAAUUUUUGAUCAUAUAUUAAUUUUUCCUUUUUGAAAUGUUUAGAUCAACUCUAAUGGAAGGAUUUGAUUUUGAUUUUAUGCGAACGAGGCUUUGUUCUCAGCUCAGGUGAGGAUUUGAUUUUUAUUUUAUGUGAACGAGGCUUUGUUUUCAGCUCAGGUGAGGAUUUUUUUUCAGUGUUAUUUUUUUCUUCAAGUUAACUACAUAUAUAAUUGAACUGCCUCUGAAUGAGUUUUUAAUAGUAUAGGGUCUCCAAAAAAACAAAAACUUAUUGAACUUUAUAAUAACAGAUAUUCUUCAGUUUUAGCUUGCAUCUGAUCAGAUUUUCACCGUAGUUAUAGUUGCUGUAGGCUGUAGCUUUAUUCUUGGUGAUUACAACAGUGAUAGCUGAUAUUUCAUGGUUAAUUCUGAAACUUGCUUCGUUUGCAUUUACAGUUUCAUAGAGAAAGUGUUUGAUUAGCAUAAAUAUCCUUUGAUUAAUAUUUAAACACCUGCUCACACAUCUUGGUGUUUUUACAGGCAGUUUGCUUGCUUAUAAUAUUUCCAAGGACAUAUAUAUAUAUAUAUAUAUAUAUAUAUAUAUAUAUAUAUAUAUAUAUGUAUAUAUAUAUAUAUACAAACACACACGCACAUAUGUACACAUACCUAAACUGCCUGUUUGUGUGCACUUUAUGAUAUAGAUGUUUCAGAUGUGUAUGGCAAAUAAAAGCUUUAUUUUAUUGUCUUGCCGUGCUAUUAAUUAUGUAGGAUUAAACUCUUAUCAUUCUACUUUCUACUAUUUAUUGUCUUGGAGAUCUGUACGUUCAAAUUUUUUUUGGUCUGUCUAAAAUUUUCUAUACUCAGCUCAAUUUUUUGUUGUGGUUGUUUGGACAGGAUGGGUUAUUGGGAAAAUUAAACCAAUUCUACUAAACAAUAAAAGAAUAAGAAACUUAGCAGUGCCUUCUUAUGUAAGUUGAGUUGUCAAACACUAUCCUUAAGAGAUUAUUGUGCCCCUUCAUAGAAUUAUAUUUCGGCGUUGAGGGUAAUUGGCAGACAUGAUUCAACUACUUUUCUUCUGACUAAACAAGACACGAUCAAAAUAUGGCAUUUAAUCAAGAUUUGAAUGUAUUUGUAAUAAUAUUGUUUUAAAAUUAAUAAAUUCAAAACGGUACAUCGGGUACAUACCGUUCUAAUAGACAAACGGUAUGCUUGUCGGUAUUGUAUUUGUAACUGUGAUAACCACACACACAUAUAUGGGUAAUGAUCCAUAACAAGUAAUUGGUAUGAAUAAAAAAUGGGCGAACACCAUUUCUAUUGUUCAAUAUAAGAACCAACGACCGAGAUUAUAAUUGAAAAAUUCAAGUCUGCUACUAUUAGUAGCUGACGACUGGUUACGUCUGCUACUAAUAAUAGCGGACGAUGGGUUACGUCUGCUACUAAUAGUAGCGGACGAUGGUACUAUUUUAAGCGGCAUCCGUUACUAUUAGUAGCAGACGUAAUUUGUCGUCCGCUACAAAAUUUUUCAGUUCUAAUUUCAGUCGUUUGUUCCUUGAACGAUAGAGAUGAUGUAUGUCAAUUUUUAAUUUAUAUCAAAUACAUGCUAUGGAUCAUUACCCUAUAUAUAUAUAGCUUGACUAAAAAUAUAACAUGCCAAAUACACCCAAUUCAGUGUUAUCAAGAAAGAGGUUCGUUUCAAUUCAUGGAGCCGAUACAAGUUUGUUGUACGCUCUAUAGGCUAUAGGCGGUACGGGUAGUUUUAUAUAAAUGCUUAUGGUUAGGAAUCCUCUUAGUAUCUAGUUCAACAAAUCUAAGUUUAUAAAAGAAUUGUAAUUGAAUCUACAAGUUGAUCUCUUAGUAUCUAGUUCAAUAAAUCUAAGUUUAUAAAAGAAUUGUAAUCGAAUCUACAAGUUGAUUGUUCUAUAAAUAAUUUAGUACAGAUGUGAUGUUUAACAUCCAUUGCCAAGUUAGAAUAUUGAUAUAGAGAUGCGCAACUAUAUAGUAAAACAACAAAUAAAUAUUUUGUUAUCCUUAAUUUUAAGUAUUAGUACACCAGAGUACCAUGUUUGAGAACACAAAUACGAAUAUUACGGUCAAUAAGAUUAUCUUGUAACUCUGGCCAAAAUAUCUUUCUUUCCCUUUGAGUCAAUGCAAAAUAUUACCCGGGAGGUGUCAAAUUUCGGGUUCCAAACUUGAAGUUUUUACUCACAUAACACUACCUUAUGCAUUUUACCAUUUUUCAGUUAUAGUUUAUGCGUUGCUUUGUAUUUAGUCAUAUAAUCUUUUUUUUAUAUUUUUUUUUGAGAAAAGUCAUAGUAUCUUCUUUAUUCAUCCUAUUCAGGACUAAUUGAUGGACAUUCUCAAUUAUUUUUUAGGUUUAGAAAAAUGUUGUUUGCAACUCUCAGGUAGAUUGAUUCAUUUGUAAUCAGAAAAUGCUACAAGGUUGUUAAACUUUAUGGUUCAUAAGAGAAGAACUUAUAAGAAAUAGAUGCUCUUUUUGGGAAGGGGAUAGGGAGGCUAUUGCUUGGAAUACUCCUUUUUUUAAGAAUUUAAAUGACCCUGAGACAAAUGAUUUAAUUUCUCUCUUGGUACCAUUCUCAGCUAGGUUUCUUUCUCUUCUUCUACGACCAUUGUCUUUGGAUUCUUUAGGCAGUUUUUGUUGCUAAUUUUGUUUUUUGUUAUUUUAUUCCUAUUUGAUCUCCUAAUGAGGAGGACAAUUUUUAUUGCAAUUUGUUGCAAAAUAUAAGGGAGUAAAAAUUCUUGUGCUCAGAUGUGUCAAGUGCAGACUAAAUAGAAGGGGCAGGAAAUGUUCUAGAGAUAUCAAUUUACUGUUAUGAGGGCACCAUCUUGAGAGAAUUGCUUAAGAUAAUUUUUUCCAUCUCUUUUCAUCUGUUUUCUAUGACUGAAAUUGUGUUCUUUUGAUAGUGUUUUUCCUUUUUUUAUUUUAUAGAAAAAGAAUUUUUAUUAAUAGAGAUGUUUUCUCUGAGAAUGUUCAGUGCAUUUUAAAUCUAUUUAAGUUGUUCCCCACAACUGUAUCAGUCAGUUUGGUCUCAACUUCCUACUGCUAAUUUUAUGGGUCAAAGAUUAUAUUUCCAUUUUAAAAUUUAUAUAUUAGUAACUGACCCGGGUGUUUGUAUAUAUGAUAGAUUUGGCAUCUCUAAAACGUUCUUGAGCCAGGAUUAAAAGAAACUCAAAUUUGAGUCUUUAAAACACUUCUUCUGUAUGAGUUGAGCUUUUUAUAAGAACACAAUGAUUUAUCUCCUUGAUCUAGAGGACAGUUACUCUAAACAAAUUUAUGAACUUUUGUGAAAGCUUAGAAAUGCUACCAAGGAUUAAAACCAAGGAAUUGGUACUAAGAGAUGCUUAAAGCAAGCAAAAGUUUAGUUUGUGAUACUGAUUUUCAUGAUGACAGAGAUCCAAUGUUAUCACAAUGACUGGAAUAGAAAGUGUUAUUUCCCAAAGGCGAUCUAGGAGGGGGAGGGGUUGAAUAGAUCUUUAAAAUUCUUUCAAUUGCUUAAUUAAAUUUACCCAAUAAUUAAUUAAUCAAGAUUAUCUAUACACAACGGAAUUUAAGUUGAAAACUCCCUUGAAGAUUUACUUAGAAAUCUCAGUUCUAAAACAAGUUCUAUGAAUGGGCAAACAUAUAGCAGAUAUAGUAGUUAUAGAUUGCAGAAUGUAAAUGACAUAAUGUAAAAGAAACAUAAGGUUUUAAGUGGUUCGGAGACUAAACAACUCCUACUCCACUCUUCUACUCAACGAGUAGGAUAUUCACUAAGGAUAUAGGCCCAACAGACCAUUUUACAUAUGAAUACCUAGUACUUCGAGUCAUAAAGUCUCGACAUCAAGUCAUUAAGACUCGGCAAUUCAGUCACUAAUGAUCAGGAUCCACCGACCCCAAUUCGGUCCUUCAGAUCAGGAUCCACUGACCCUAAUUCGGUCACAUAUACCAGGAUCUAACGACCAUUCUUUUUGUUUGUAGAAGUGUGUUUGAAGUGCUGCUAAGAUCUUCAUCUUAUGGUACUUAGCAGCAUUGUUGAUCAUUUUCUUAGUGCUUGCUGAACUCUGUUGUUGAAGUUUGAUUUCUUCUGAUUAUCAGCAGCUACUCAUGAUCAUUGUUGAUGUGUUGCGAAGCUAUUCACUUUAUCUCUUUAUCUUUUGUGGUUAGCAGCAUUGAACACUUCCUGGAUUGUAGACUUGUGCUCUAUGUCUUCAACUAGUUGGCUCUGAGUGUUUAUGGUGAAACGUAAAGUGGUGCUUUGAGAUUUUCUUUGUGAUUUGCCACUCUCAUGUUAUUAGCAUCAACCACAUGGCUUCUUCAUAGGGAUAAAUCAACUUUUGGUACCUGUACUGGGACACAACUUACAAUUUGGUACCUGAAGUGAAAAAAGUUACAAACUGGUGAUUGUACUUGAAAAAUGUUACACUCCGUUAAACAUUAGGGAUACGACUUACAAUUUGGUACCCGAAGUGAAAAAAGUUACAAACUGGUGAUUGUACUUGAAAAAUGUUACACUCCGUUAAACAUUAGGGAUACGACUUACAAUUUGGUACCCGAAGUGAAAAAAGUUACAAACUGGUGAUUGUACUUGAAAAAUGUUACACUCCGUUAAACAUUAGGGAUACGACUUACAAUUUGGUACCCGAAGUGAAAAAAGUUACAAACUGGUGAUUGUACUUGAAAAAUGUUACACUCCGUUAAACAUUAGGGAUACGACUUACAAUUUGGUACCCGAAGUGAAAAAAGUUACAAACUGGUGAUUGUACUUGAAAAAUGUUACACUCCGUUAAACAUUAGGGAUACGACUUACAAUUUGGUACCCGAAGUGAAAAAAGUUACAAACUGGUGAUUGUACUUGAAAAAUGUUACACUCCGUUAAACAUUAGGGAUACGACUUACAAUUUGGUACCCGAAGUGAAAAAAGUUACAAACUGGUGAUUGUACUUGAAAAAUGUUACACUCCGUUAAACAGUAGGGUUUCAUCUUUAUUCUGUUUGAAAAUUAGGGUUCUCUUCUUCUGUCCUUCUUCUCUCGUUCUUCUUGUCUCGAUUCUCCAUUGAUUACUGGUUCCCAUAUAUUUAUUUAAGGGUUUUCAGUGUUUAAUUGAAAUGAUGAGUAUGUUUUGGAGUGGAAUCGUAAAUGAAAUCGGGGAAGAAGAUUGUAGUUCAUGCAAUAAAAAUGAAUGGAUUACACCAGAGUUCCCAAGUCGGUGCCACUGUGGAGCAAUGGUGCGAAUGUGGGAGGCAAGGAAAGAUGGAACAAAACAUCGAGGAUCUUCUUCGCGUCGACUUCGCUUCUUUCUCUGUAUGUUUGUCUAUCCCGUUGGAUCAAUUUUAACGAUUAUUUAAAAAUUGUAAAGUACAAGCACCAGAUUUCAACAUUUUUUGAGUACAAUCACCAAUUUGUAAUUUUUUUCACUUCGGGUACCAAAUUGUAAGUCGUGUCCCGGUACAGGUACCAAAAAUUGAUUUAUCCCCUUCUUCAUAUUUGGACUUUCAGCUUUGUCAUGUCCUCCACUUUCUUAGCUCUACGGCUCUAGCUCAUUUUCUCUUGAGCUUUCUAGCUCUUUGGCAUUGGCUCUGCGGUUUAUUCAUCAGCUUCUUGUAAUCUGAUGAGAUGUUGCCAAAAUUACGUUUUAAUUUCCUUCUCUUUUGUACCUGGCAGCCUUGAACAUUUCUCUGUUCGUAGAGUGGACCUUACUCUACGUUUUGUCUUGUUCAGCUCAAUAUUCACCUCUGAUGAUGUUUUCUCUAUGUAUUGACAUUCAGUGCUCAUCAUCAUCAUAUGUUUUUUUGAAUGUUGUCUUUUAUACUCCUUAGAAAUCUUCCCGUUGAGAAGUAUCCGUUGGAGCAUUUAAUGAUCAUAUACUUUGAUAUAUCUGAUGUUGACUUUCCGGAGCUUGUGUCAGUGUACUUUCUGACUUAAGACUUGUCACAUCAAUCAGUAUCUUUUCUUUCUUUUCUACACCUUGCUUUCGGCCAACUAGCCAGUAGACAUGCCUUUGUUUUCUCGUAAGAAUAUAUCUUCUGAACCUUGAACUCUUAUUGUAACGUUCUAUUUGUCAGUCCCCUUUGUCAGACCCGACGUUUACUCUACGACCUUGUUACAAAUCAUAGGGCUGAGCUUUACGUCCUGCUUGAACUUUCUGUUCUUGUGUCUUUUGACUAUUGAUAGUAGAGUGAUGGAAGUUGUAGACUUGAGUUCUGUAUCAUCACUACUAAUAUGACCUCAUCUUCUGUUCUUCUUUCUGAUUGCUUCAUUAUGCUUGGACUUGUUGUGAAGACUCUUCUUCGUUCUCUUGAUACUUUAACUGCUUUGCGAAGUUGAGAACAUCUUUCUGAAUGAGGUGUUCCUCUUUGCUCUCAAGUACUGAUAGCUUUUUUAUGAAGUCCUGAUUGCUCAGCGAUUUGCUCUGAAUAUUAUGAUUAGGCAGAGUAUCCUUGCAUUUAGACUUUUAUAGAUUUUUUUUGGAGAUCUCUUCUAUUAAGAGAGAUGCUCAAAUAUCAUCAGAGUAUAUUUUUUUUCUACAUGCUUCUUCUUGUGUGAUCUUCACCUUAUAUCCAUGGCACAAAAUAAGUUUGAUAAUUUCCUUUUAACUUUAGGGGCAGCUUUGCACAUUAUGCUUUACGGUUCUGAGGCUGUCUUUAUGAUCUUGACUUUACGGAAUGAUCUUGGAGAUUACCUUAUGAUUCUUUCAUUCAGUGUCUGCUUGGAGUAUUCUACGAUUAUUUGUCUUUACGAUUCACUGAUCACUUAGCAAGUUGGUUGUGACUUUGCUAGGUGAUGUUCGAUAUAUAUAACAGCUUCUUCGACUUCUUAUACAACUAUGUGAUAGUCUUGCAACUUUGAGAUCAUUUGUUCACUUUACGAGCUGAUUCUCUGUCUACGAGAUGGAGUGAACUCUGCGAAUGCUGUACAAACAUUGUUGACUCUGCGAAGUAUCUCCAUCUUCGCAGAGUAAUUUUACGAUCAUGAUUUCCUAUCAUCUAUACAUCAGAUCAAUUUUCAUAAGAUCAACAUAACAGUAUUUGAUCUUUCUAGUCUAAGUCUUUGUACAUCAAUUCUUUUGAAGGGCUUUAGAAAAUUUACUUGUACAAAUAUACAUUAAUCAUAUUUCACUUUAAGCACGUGUAGAUUACUCUGCUGAUAAUGCUGUUAUCAUGCAGAGUAGCCUUUUACCAUGAUUUUUCUAUUACAUAUGCAGAUAGGAUAAAGAUCAACCUAACGUUAGGUUUGAUCAUACUAUUCUAAGUCCUUGUACAUAGAUAUCUCAGUUAAGGACUAUACAAAACUUAUCCAUACGAAUAUACUACAAGUGCUUCAUCAUCAAAUCAUAUACAUUUGAAAUCUAAUAAGGGUUCUAAUCAAACUCCCCCUUAAUUUAGUAACCUUCUAAUCUAUAAUUAGGUUCCUAACAGAAAGUUCUUUCUACUUCGUCACCUAUAUUAUGUAUUUAAUUGUUCAUCCUUUUUAAGUGUGAUAAACCUGUUCUUUUUGUAUAAGAGUCAAGAUCAUUAAGAAUUGGACAUCAUGUGAAUAAAGUUGUGUGUGAAAAUACAAAAUCAAUUGAAAAAGAUACCUUUUCUGAAUAAUUUGCAAACAUUGUAUUUGUCUCUGGUUAAGAUUAUUAUUUUUUGAAAUGAAGAUAUAACAUUCUCUAUUUGAGUUCAAUGGAAGCGAUAAAAAUAAUUAUGGCAUAUAGGCUAUAUAGUUUUAGUUCCUUUCUUCUAGUUGAAUAAGUUGUAGCCCCUUCUUUUUGGUAAUUGUUACUCUUAAGUUGAUUCCAUGCGGAUAGUUAAAUAGCCGGGUUCAGUUUUAGAGCUAUAUUAUGUUGCUAACACAUCCUUCUUCAUGUGUGUUAGAGUUAAAUUCUGGUGUCUAUUUUUUUUUGGGAUAAAUCAACUUUUGGUACCUGUACUGGGACACGACUUACAAUUUGGUACUCGAAGUGAAAAAAGUUACAAACUGGUGAUUGUACUCGAAAAAUGUUGCACUCUGUUAAAUAUUAGGGACACAACUUACAAUUUGGUACCCGAAGUGAAAAAAGUUACAAACUGGUGAUUGUAUUCGAAAAAUGUUACACUCCGUUAAACAGUAGGGUUUCAUCUUUAUUCUGUUUGAAAAUUAGGGUUCUCUUCUUCUGUCCUUCUUCUUGUCUUGAUUCUCCAUUGAUUACUGGUUCCCAUAUAUUUAUUAAAGGGUUUUCAGUGUUUAAUUGAAAGGAUGAGCUCGUCUGUAGUGGAAUCGUAAAUGAAAUCGGGGAAGAAGAUUGUAGUUCAUGCAAUAAAAAUGAAUGGAUUAUACCGGAGUUCCCAAGUCGGUGCUACUGUGGAGCAAUGGUGCGAAUGUGGGAGGGAAGAAAAGAUGGAACAAAACAUCGAGGAUCUUUUUCGUGUCGACUUCGCUUCUCUUUGUAUGUUUGUCUCUCCCGUUGGAUCAAUUUUAACGAUUAUUUAAAAAUUGGAAAGUACAAGCACCAUAUUUCAACAUUUUUCGAGUACAAUCACCAGUUUGUAACUUUUUUCACUUCGGGUACCAAAUUGUAAGUCGUGUCCCAAUACAGUUAUCAAAAGUUGAUUUAUCCCUUUAUUAAAGGGUUUCAGUGUUUAAUUGAAAGGAUGAGCUCGUCUGUAGUGGAAUCGUAAAUGAAAUCGGGGAAGAAGAUUGUAGUUCAUGUAAUAAAAAUAACUGGAUUACACCAGAGUUUCCAAAUCGGUGCCACUGUGGAGCAAUGACGCGAAUGUGGGAGGCAAGGAAAGAUGGAACAAAACAUCGAGGAUCUUCUUCGCGUCGACUUCGCUUCUUUCUCUGUAUGUUCGUCUCUCCCGUUGGAUCAAUUUUAACGAUUAUUUAAAAAUUGGAAAGUACAAGCACCAAAUUUCAACAUUUUUUGAGUACAAUCAUCAAUUUGUAAUUUUUUUCACUUCGGGUACCAAAUUGUAAGUCGUGUCCCUAAUGUUUAACGGAGUGUAACAUUUUUCGACUACAAUCACCAGUUUGUAACUUUUUUCACUUCGGGUACUAAAUUGUAAGUCGUGUCCCAGUACAGGUACCAAAAAUUGAUUUAUCCCAUUUUUUUUCAUCCAUUAAGCAUUAAUCAGUAUCGGUAGUAUCUAGUAUUUUCUUUCACACAGUCAUAGUUGUCAAAACUCCAUAUCGUGUUUCACGUAUAGUAUCGUGAAUUGUAUUGUACGAUACGAAAACAAAAUAAAAAGUGUGGUAAUAUAUAUUUAAACAUAUAAGACACAAUUUAUAGGAUAAUCGACUAUAUACAAGUAGUCGAGUAAAUAUUAUUAUAGACUAAAAAUUAAUUUUAAAGUUAAAUAGUAGCCAAAAUACUCUAAAUUGAUUUAUUAUAUAUUAUUUUAGUAAUCUUUAUAGAGUAAAGUGAAAACGAAAAUUCAGAUUCACCUUUUAUCUAAAAAAAAAAGAGAAUAAUUCAAAUUAACAAGUGGAGAUUUACGUAUUUGCUUGUAGAAAGUGACGUGAGAAAAAUAGAGCGACAUUCUGAAGAAGAUAUAAAUCUCUAAAAGUGAAUAAAAGCUUAUCAAGCGAUAUAAAAUAAGUUUAUACUAAAAAAUCUAUUCAUUUGAAAUAGUAGAAGGCUUAAAAAUUUUGUUUUUACUCUUUUGGUUAUACAUAAAAAAAUUUUCAAGUCGGUUGCUAAUUUUAAGAAGUAUUGUACAGGUAUCGUUUCGUAAGAAUCAUAUCGAAGCGUAAAUGAAUCGUAGAAUACGGUGUCAUUUUUGAUUAACCAUGCGAUACGUAUCGUAUCGUACGAUAUGUAUCGCGUAUCGUAAGAUUCUGACAACUAUACACUUAGUAUAGUGGGGUCUAUUCUGUUUUUUUUAAAAUUUUUUUAAUGAGAAAUAUUUAGUAAUUUGAAACCUAAUUAACUUGAAUUUGAGACAACAGGAAAGAUAAACAGAAAUAUUCAGUUAUAUUUAAAAAUAUUUUACAAAGACCUUAAGGCAAGUCGUGUUUUCCCUUGUUGACAAGUAAGCAUUUAACUAUUCUUGCAUCUGAAAUCAACUACUUAUGUUCUGACCUUUAAUCAAACAAUUUUAAGGUGCCUCAUCUGAUUAAGCAUACCCUUAAGUGUUGUAUUCUAUACUGCUCUUUCUUACCGCCCUCCACGUAUACGAUUGCACCCAUUAAUAUUGCGGGAAACCUGCAAUUUUUAAAUGAAAAUUUUAGGAACCUCUAGAUUUUGUAUAAUCAAUUAAGAAUUUAUAGUAGGAAACCUUAUUGAAGAUUUAGGUGAUAUUUCUAUUUAAGGACAUAAGUUAUUAAGCACAGAUAUUGUGUAGGACCGUUAGGGACUAGGUGUAGAGGUCUGCAUUCCUCCUAUUUAGGAGAGGGAGCACAACAAAUACCAAACUUAGUCGUCAUAUUUAUAAUUGAAGAAACAAGCCAAAAGACCAGAAAGGGCUAAAAGAAAGGAAAUUUGCAAAUACUAUCUAUUGUGAGAUACUGAGAUUUCGAUCCUACAUCGGAGCAUGUGAGCAUGUGAGGAUAAUGCGUUCCUUUUCAAUUUUAGUUAAUGACUACAGAGAAAUAUCCUCCCAUGGGUAGCCCGCUAAGAUGACCUACUCGGUGAUUACUUGGUCUAUAGAGUGGUAUUCCCUCAUGUAUGUACUUUAAUUUAUCAUAUUAUUUGUGCUAUAUAUGCAACAUGCGUAACAAGUUAAUUGGUCCAAUCUCAGAAAUGAUGAUGGUUUGUUGGAUAUUGGAAGGCUUUCAGUCAACACUUUAGGAAUUGCAUGUAUCCCAGAUAAAAACAUGGUUUUUGAUUGUGACUAUCCUAUUUUCUCUCAAUAUUAAUUUUCUGUGUUUUAUAUGGCAUUUCCUUUGUGAAUGCUAGAAGACAAUAUUAUUCCGUAUCAUAUGUACAAUAGAAAGCCUUUAUAUAUUUCAAGUGUUAAAGCUAAAUAUGGAAAGUAAAUUAUAGUGAUCAAUGAUUACCACUAAUCACGCUUCUAGAAUAAUCCUACCACUAAUUACCCCUAAUCAAAUCAAUCAUAUAAUCCUCUAGAUUAAUCAAACACUCCCCUUUAAGCUGGAGCAUGUAUAUCAAUCAUGCCCAACUUGUUACAAAUAUAACAGAUUCUAGUAGCCCCUAAAGCUUUUGUAAAACACAUCCGCAAGUUGAUCACCAAUAUGACAUCGAGUUCUCUCGUGGAACACCGGAUUAGAAGCAAUGUAGAUAGCAGCUGCAUUAUCACACCAAAAUUGCAUAAGAACUAUCUUGUUGAAACCCAACUCAGUUAACAAAUGCUUCAACCAUAUUAAUUCACAAGAGACAUGAGCCAUUGCUCGAUAUUCUAAUUUUGCACUAGACCGAGACACAACAUUUUGCUUCUUGCUUUUCCACGAUACAAGAUUGCCUCCAACAAAUACACAAUAUCAUGUAGUAGAUCUCUUAUUAGUUGGACUCCCUGCCUAGUCAGAACACAAAAGCCUUCUACUCAUGUGUUUAUGAUUUCUAAAUACUAAUCCGCGACCUGGAGCACUUUUAAGGUACUUUAUCCUCACAACUGCAUCCCAGUGUAAGGACCUAGGGGAAGAUAAGAACUGGUUGACCACACUAACAGGUAAAACAAUGUCUGGUUGAGUAACUAUAAGAUAAUUGAGUUUUCCCACAAGUCCAGAAGAUCUCCUCCUUUUGUUGUUAGUUUCUGGCUUGUGUCCAUGGGUGUGUCAACUGGCUUUGAUCCAAGCAAACCUGUUUCUUCCAAUAAGUUUAGAACAUAUUUACGCUGUGAAAGGAAAAUACCUUUACUAGAUUGCGCCACUUCAACCCCCAAGAAGUAUUUUAAUUUUCCCAAAUCCUUGAUUGAAUUUCACCAAUUUUCUGUCUAUCAUCUCUUGUAAUGACAAUAUCAUUCACAUACACAAUCAACAAAAUAAUGCCAACACUACUCUCACGAUGAAACAAAGAAUGAUCACUAUUACAUCUCAACAUCUCAAAUUGGAGAACCGCCUCCAUUAAUUUACCAAACCAUGCUUGUGGUGAUUGUUACAGUCCAUAUAAUUAUUUCUUCAAUUUACAAACUAGGCCCGACUCCCCUUGUGCAAUAAAACUAGGUGGUUGCUUCAUAUACACAACUUCUUUGAGAUCACCACGAAGGAAAGCGUUCUUGACAUCAAGUUGUAAUGGCCAGUGCUGAGAGGCUGCCAAGGAAAUUAACAAUCUAACAGAAGACAUUUAGCAACAGGAGAAAAAGUCUCAGAAUAAUCAAUAAACUUGAGCAUAUCCUUUUGCAACCAAUUAAGCUUUUAAGUCGAGAUCCAUCGGGAUUUACAUUUACUGUGUACACCCAUUUACAACCAACAAUUAAUGCAGUCAAAGGAGGUAUCACCAACUCCCAAGUAACAUUUUUCUCCAAAGCAAUCAUUUCCUCUUCCAUUGCUAUCCUCUGGCCAGGAUGCGAUAGUGCUUCCUUAACAUUUUUUGGGACUGGAUGAACAGAGAUAGUAGAGAGACAUUUAUGAUGAGUAGAAGAGAUACUAGAAUAAGGAAGAGAAGCGGAAAUAGGAUGUUGGGUACAAUUUUAUUUACCUUUUGGUAGGACAAUUUGUUUAUCUAGAUCAGAAUCAGAGGACGAGAUUCCAGGAUUUGCAGACAAAGAUGAGGAGGUGAGAGUCGAGUCAUCACUAGGUGUUGUAUCUGUUUUUGGAUGACGACACAUCGUAUUUCUGGCAUUGGUUUAUGUGGCAUAGAAGGAAUAGUCGACUUGAUGAUAUAAGUGGACAACUCUUCAUCUAAAUCAGACACGGAAUGAGGUUGGGAAGAAAAUGAUGUUUUCUCAAAAAAAGUUACACUAGAACUAACGAAGUAACGUUUAAAUUCAGGAGUAACAACGAUAACUUUUUUGGGUAUGAGAAUAACCCAACAAACAUUUUAGAGCCUUGGGAUCUAAUUUUGAUACACCAGGACGGUGAUCUCGAACAAAACAGAAGCACCCAAAAACACGUGGGGACAAAGAAAACAAAACCUGAGAAGGAAACAAGAUAGAGUGAGGAAUUUCUCUACCUACAACAGAAGAAGGCAUGCGAUUAAUCAAGUAACAUGCGGGGUCUGCCAAAAAUGGUUUUGGUACUUUCAUAUCAAAAAAUAAAGCACGAGCAACUUUCAUAAGAUGACAGUUUUUUCUCUCUGCAACACCAUUUUGUUGUGGUGUGUCAGCACAUGAGAAUUGAUGGAUGAUGCCAUGACUAGCCACGAAUGUAGAAAAUGGAAAUGAAAAAUAUUCAAGAGCAGUAUCACUGCGUAAUACACGGAUUAUGAGACCAAAUUGAGUCUGAAUUUCGUUCACAAAAUUAGAGAAAAUGGUGAACAAUUCAGAACGGUUUUUCAUUAAGUAAAGCUAAGUUAUUCGUGAAUAGUCAUUAACAAAUAUAACAAAAUAUUGAAAUCCCAGUUGUGACGUACAAGGUCCCUAGACAUCAGAGUGUACUAACUCAAAUGGGUUCACAGACCGUUUAUUGACCCUAGGGGGAUAUGACACACGCUAUGGUGUUUCCCAAAUUGACGGGACUCACAUUCUAAACUAGAUAAAGAACUAAAACAAGGCAUCAAUCUUUUCAAGUUGGACAAAGGGUGUCCUAAUCGAUAAUGGACUAGAAGAGGCGAGACGACACUUGAACAAGCAAUGACCCGAGGAACAAAAACUAAUUCAUUAAAUAGAUAUAAACCUCCCGAUGCACGACCUCUACCAAUCAUCUUCGUCGUAAGAUCCUGAAAAACACUAGAAUCAGGAUAAAACGUCACGAAACAAUUAUAAGCUUUUGUCAAUUUACUAACAAAAAGGUUAUAUGGAAAUUUGGGUAAAUAUAAUGUAGAUGCUAAAGAGAGAGGGGCUAAGAUUAGCAGUACCAGUACCUUUUACGGUGAUCGUGGAGCCAUCUGCUAAGGUCACACUAGGUAUAGAGAAGUAGGAUGAAAAGAGAAAGAUUACUAGAUAUACAUGUGAUAUGAUCAGAUGCCCCAAAGUCAAUUACCCAAGGAUGGGAUCAUAGUUGUUACGGCGCCACAGUGAGUCAUAACGGUAGCCGACUGCCAAGACACCUAGAUGACAAGACGACCGCCAUGACGUCCGUAUGGCGACAAGUCGUUUACAACGUGCAAUUUAUAUAUUAUUUAUUUUACUUAACAAGCAUAUUGACAAUAAAAUUUCAUAUACAUUAAAACUCUAAACAUAACACUAUGGAAUAAUAUUAAAAACAUAAUUAUGUAAAUACUUAGCGAUAACAAUCUAAAAAUAAAACACUUAGAUAUUAAAAAUUAGUAAAAGAAAUGAAGAAUUCAACAAACACCACAGAGAAAAUAAAGUUGCAACCAACCAUCACAAAUAUGUAGUCUAAUAACUAAUAAAACACCACAUAGCAAGCCAAAAUUAUGUAUUGACUCUAUACAUUAGUCUUUAAAUAUCGUUCAAGCAAACUCAUCAAGAAAAAGGUCAUCUCUAUCUCCUCCACGAGAACUACCCUUGUGACGCCCCCAAAAUAGGUAUACAUCACCCAUCUUGGGUCGCCAAAUACAUGGUACAGAAUUCAAAUACAAACUUAAUUUAUACAACUGUUAAGUGCCGUGCAGAAUACGACAAAACAUAAGUUGUGAGUUUUAAUACAAAUAUUGUCUCCUUGACAAUAUCCAAUCUCAAAUUCAAUCCUCAUUACAUUUAUUAUCACACUAAAUAGUGAGGACUACUAAAACAACCAUCUCGGACGGUCACUCCAUUCCCCGACUAGUCCCAACUACAUUCUCAUUUUCUGAAGAGAACAAUGAAAGCAAAAGGGUGAGCUCAACUAGCCCAAUAAGAAAUAUUAUGACUAAGAUAAUGCAGUGUUAAACUGUAAAAUAUAAUAAACAUCAAGUUUAACUGCAGCGGAACAAGUAAUCCAUUAGAAGAGUCAAGUAGAGCAUGAUAUCUACUAUCUUCUAUGAUUUAAAAAGUUUAUCAUCAAUUUUAUCGCUGAGACUCAGCUAAAUAAAUAAACCACAUCAUCGAAUCAUCCUUGCACUACAAGCCAAGGAUAUUCAUUAGUAUCAUGUCCACAAAUUAUCCAUGCUCUAUGGGCCAAGGAUAUUCGUGUAAUCAUCAAUGGUCAUGAUCAUGCCAACCACUGUCCAUCAAUGCACUACGGACCAAUGAGGACUUUUACCACAUCAUUUGUAACAUUACGGUCAUGAUUAUAUCGAAUGAUCUCUGUUCAUAAUUAUACCAAUCAACAGUUCAUCUAUGCACGUAAGCCACAGAGGACUUUCAUCACAAUAUAAGCAUGAGGAUGAUGACAAUGAUAUAAGAAUUCAAUUAAAAGAAAGCAAAGGAUAAAUUUUUAAAGAUUUAUAAUUUAAUUUAUCCAGAAGAAAUGCUCUAACUCUCUCUCAAAUUUACUAAGGAAACUAAUGAAGAAACUAUAUACUAGAAUGCUUUAUUAGACUAGAAUGCUUGAGAAAUGGAUGGAAAUGAAGGCUGCCCCCUCCUAUCUAUUUAUAGGAGGGUUGGUGACCCUUCGGAUGGGCACAUCACCCCUGAAAAGGCAUGGGGUGCCUCUUGAAGAGGUAUUAUUUGUAUCUGUUGGUCAAAACGACGUAGUUUUGACCAUUUACAGAAUAGGCGCAUCUAUUCGGUUUAUUAAAACGACAUAGUUUAAGUGUUAGCAGAACCAAAAUUACGUAGUUUUAGGCUUAGAAGAAAAGGCGCGACAAAAACGACUUAGUUUAGGGCCGCCCGUUCAACCUUACAGAUACCGCUUCCUCAAAACGACACAGUUUUGAUAAUACCGCUUCUCAAAACGACACAGUUUUGAUAAUAUAAUAAAUACAACUUCAAAACGACACAGUUUUUGAUAAUAGAAUUAAAUAAAUAAAUUUUAAUUAAAAAAUUUAAAUAAAUUUUGUCUAAAAAAUUAUAGACAGGACCCACGUGCCCCGAGCCCGAGCCAGGCUAGGUCAGGCCGGACGGACGGUGGCGGCGGCGCGCGCGUGUGGGUUCGAACCUAGCCUUGGCUAGGUCCUCUCCCUUCCACAAAAGUGGGGUGCCCCUUGGGACCCAAACCCAAGAGCACUUUCCUUGUAUAUAAACAUAUAAAACCUUUAAUUCUUAAUCUAUGUGGGACUUAGUUUUUCCCACAUGUAUUUAUUAUCUUUCAAGUAUGAUCUUUGGGAGUUAAUAUCUCAUUCAUUACUCUAUGGAUUUUAGCUUCCAAAUACUUAAUUUAAUCUACUCAUGGAGUAGAACACAUUAAUAUAUGGAAUCAUUAAAAUUAAUUAAUGACACUCACAUUAAUUUAGGCUCAAAUUCCAACACAUACUGGGGGCCAGCUUCUUCAAUCUUAAUAUUAAGUAGAUUUGCUAACAUUGUGGCAUCUUGCGAUUGACUGGAGGUAUAAUUCAACAAGUGUCUUCCCCUCUUAUUCGUCCAACCAUCCGACAUGAGUGUUCCUUCCAAGCAACUUCAUGUUUCGCUUUUAACUCAUUAGUUUUUGUCUUUGCCUUCUCAAGUAAAGGAAUCCUCAACUUAUGAUACGUUGGAGGCUUUAAACUCGACCCAUAUUGCCCUAUGGACUCGAUCAUUACCUCAAAGCUCCUUGCAUUUGCAGCAUUGAAUGGUAUGCCUCACUCGUAGAGAAAGUUGGCAAUGUACAUAUGGGCUCUCUCCUUUUCCUCCGGUGUCCAACAAUUUUCAAUACUCGUCUGACUCAAACGCUUGCUAAGCUUCUCCUCUACAACUUCUUUGGGACUAUUCCUUAGAAGUGCUUCAACCGUCUUUGUUGGAGCUUUUGGUUGUGGCUUUUGGAAUUGAAAAACAUCUUUUUUUUCUUUUGGAAGCAGUCCCAGAACUUGGGAUAGUGUUAGAAGAAGCAUUGGAAGCCAUGCUUGGAAGAGCAGAUGAUUGUUCUUCUUACAGUUAUACUUUUACAUCAUCAUCAUCUAGCUCAACUGACUUGUUCCUUUUUCUACUAUUCAAAGCCGCUUGCAUCUCCCUUAUAAUUUCUGUUGUUGUUUUGGGGCACUUCGUUACAUCUCUAAAAUUUUCUGCUAAAUAACCUUUUGAUUCCUGAAGAACAUUGCUUCCCACAAAGAAUACAUUACUCUAUAUUCUUAUUACUAAUAAACCCCUCACAGACCCAACAAAUCCAAACCCAAAGUGAGUAACGAACUAAUCAUUUUCCACCUUCUAAAAAAUACAGAAACAACUCAAACAUAUAUUUUGGAAGAGCACAAGAAAUUAUAACUUGCACUUGCAUUGAUGAACAUGAAAUGAGAUGAACAAUGUCGGGCACUAUUCACGAUGAACAGUUCGGGUACUGUUCACGGAGAACAAUGAUUUUUUUUAAUAUUUUAGAAUGGAGAAAAAGAAGGGAAAAAAAAGGAGAGGAUUUUUUUUUUAGGAAACUAAUACCAUGUGAAUGCUAGAAGACAAUAUUAUUCCAUAUCAUAAUGUGUACAAUAGAGAGCCUUUAUAUAGAAGUGUCAAAGCUAAAUAUGGAAAGUAAGGCGGUGUUUGAUAAAAUUGAGUGUUAAGACCUGAACACUUUAGACAUUUGAAUAAUAUAAAGCAUCUGUUUAGAAUUGUGUCUGAAUGAAAAAAUGUUGUUUGAUAAUUAAUUUUUUCAAAAUGUCUGAAUAACAUAAUUUACCAUUUUAACCCUAUGUCCAAAAUGUCUUUUUUUUCAUUCUUUUCUUUUUCAAAACCAACAAUCAUAGAGCAACUGUGCAAGAGCGGAUCUCCUUUACACUUGAUGCGCUUCAUCUGAAUCAAGAUCUCAACAGAUGGACUGUGUUAAUAAAUUUGAAUUUGCCGUUUGAAUUAGUGCAUAUGGUUGAAUUCGUGUAAUUUGGCUGAAUUCAAGAUAAAAGCUUAACUUUAUUUGUUUGUUGAUCACAACCCUUGAAAAAGAUGGGUUAUAUCCUUCGGAAAUGGGGGUUAUAUCAAGGUGGAUUUUACCCAUUUGUGGCAACAUUUGUUGUUUCUGUCCUUCACUUAGGGCAAGGUCGAGACAACCUGUAAAGCGGUACAAGAAGCUUGCACAGUUGAUAUCUCAGUCUCAAGGCCCUAAGGGUUAGGCCAAUGACGACGUCUCCGCAUUGCCUUCUUCUCCUCUGCCUAGGGUUUUCGGUUGCGUGAUCGGCGUGCAGAGAGAACGAACCAUUGACCGUGCUUUCCUCGAGAAGAAACAAGAGCUAUGUAUUGGGGGAUAAAGGAAGGAUUUUGUAAUAUUGUUGAGGUUAUUUUUGUCCAAAAAAACAUAAAUUUGUUCAAAUGGGACUCUAAAUGGUUUAGAAUUAUUUUUGAAUCUUACCGAUUAAGAGGCAUAAAUUUUUUUACCAAACAAGUUGUCUCUGACCAAAUCAGAUGCACACCUAUUAAGAGCCUUUAAGACCCAAACAAACACCACCUAAAUCAUAGUAAUCAAUGAUUACCACUAAUCACUCCUAAUCAAAUCUUAGAUCAUCUAGAUUAAUCUAACAUGCUUUCUUGUUUAUUAAGUUGUCCACAAGUUUUAACCUGCCUUGGAUGUUUUUUGCAGGAUAUAUAAAUGUGCAGAACGUAGGAUCCUGUAAUGUCUUUGUUCCAUUAAAGAGGUAGACACUCAGAUAAAUUCCCUUUGCAUCAAUUGACCGAGUAAUCUAUCUGGAAUGCAUUAUAUAUUGAAGUAAGAUGCAGUGUUCUGGAUUGAGAGUAGGGUCUGCUGAUAAUUUUGGUGAGUUUCUUAUUUGUGCUGUAAAUGCUAUUCUGAAUUGUUUUUUAGCAUGAUCAUCAUUAUUCUGGUUUACCUGCACUCUGUCGUUGAAAUUGUGAUCAAACAUAUACUAUGUACAUUUAUUUCUUUCAAUAGAAACUUUAUACGACAAAUACAGGUAGUGCUUUCAAAGCAAUUUGUCCAUCUCAAGUGUUAUUUUAGAAAAUAUAAAGAUUAUUAAAGAAACAACUGACAAAUGCAAUACUAACAAUGAUAAACCUUUACUGUUAUUACUUAUAAAAGUUGAUUCCAUUAAUUGGUCAAAUCAAAGUCUUCCUUCUGAAUGGUCUGUGGUUCAUGCACCACUUCUCAUAACAGAAGCAUAGCUUAAUAACCAUAGGGUCUUUGACAAAGAAUCAAUGGAAACCCUUCUUGUUUGGUCCAACAGCCCAUUAGUAGUGCAGUUGUAGUCUGCUCAUUUUUCAAAGAAACAAAUAUUGGAUUAAGAUACCGGUGAAAAUUUUCUGGUUUAUUACAAUGUUAUUUAUAACUAAGCGGAACAGAAAUUACCCCAGCUUUGGUGCCUGUGUUGGUGUUUCAUAGUUUCGCUGUUGUGGCUGGCAGAGCUGGAGAUGGAUAGGUGCAUGUGGGUCAUCUCCAAUGCUUAAACCAUUUAUGAGAAGCGCAUUUCUGUUUGUUCCAUCUGCAUCCCUUGUUCCGUAAACCUGUGAUGUAAAAUACUUUUUGUUGAGGUGAUGGUGAAACAGCUAAUAACUCACAGUGAUACAGAGAGUAAAAAGGGGGUCUUCAUAGUAUGUGACUAACUCGUCGAUGCUUACUUAAGUUGUCUAAAUCAAUACCUUUGUAUACAGUUCCUUAUUUUCAUGACGAAUUAGGUUUACCUUCCUAUACAGUUCCACAUUUUCUUGGUGCAUGCGGUUUCCCUGCAACAAAGCCAUUGAAAUUUAGCUACUUGAAGAUAUGUACGUGUCUCUGAGAUAAAAAAGGACAGUCAGCGACCACGGGUUUUAGUGUUGACCUUUCUGUUUAGUUCCUCUAUUUCAUCUAUUAGAACUUGGUCCUACAUAGAAGAUUAUGUUAAUGCACAAGUUGGACUGUAUAGAAGAUCAUACGAUGAGCAUCACUUAUGGGGAUGGAAGUUUCAAACCUUUCUUGUGCGGACACCCCGAAGGCUCAUUUCCAGUUGGUUCUCCAAAUUCUGCAAAUCUUUCACACUCAAACCAGAAAGCUCCUCACCCAGCAUUUGCCUGUAAUUAUCAUAUGAAUAGUUGAAUGAACUCAUCAGUUUGUGUGCUUCCAAGUUUCUUUAGUAGCAAUAGUGAGACUCAUAAAAUGAGAUGUUAAAGACUAUCUGGUCGAACAAUUAAUCUUUGUGAAUUUGUACAACAUUAAUGGACUACGCUCCACACUUGAUCUGAUCUAAGUCUAUCCAUUUCAAGGAUUUUCUCAUUGCUGCUGAUCAAGUUUGUUGCUAAUGAAUUAUUUUUGACCUCUGAAUCAGGAGUUGUUGGGUUCAAUUAAUAAUCUGUUGUGUAUAAACUUUUUAAGAAAUAAUCACUAAUUAACAAGAGUUAUGACAGUAUAUAUGUCUUGUGCUGGCUGGCUGGCUGGCUACCUAUCCCUCUUUAAACUGUUUCAGUUGCAGACUAACUGUUUGGUCGUCUUUGUUCAUCAUUCUGCAAUCUGCAAUUGAUAAUGAAUGGUUUCAAUGAAGUACUCAAUUGGUUUUGAGAUCAGUGCAAGUGCCACUUUACCUAAUUACCUCCCGUAGGCACAUAACCUACACCUGCUUUAGACCAAAGUGCAACAAUUAACAUUCCAUUAAUUUUUUCAGAUGGAAAGUAAAUUACUUGAAUACCCGCAAUCUAUUAUUUUUAUUAUUAUUGGUUUGCAUUUAGACUCCUAAAUCACAGAGGGGCCCUUAAAGAUUAAAAGAAAAUUCUGGUGUCCUAAGAAUAUGUAUUCAAGGCCCUAACUUUUCGGGAUGAAUUGGUCCAUGCCGAAGGCUGUUAAGAUUUUGUUAGCAUGGUGGAAGGGGACUAGGGUGAAUAAAGCUAUGAAGGGAAAUGGUUGGUGGCCCCUCAUUUUAUCAAGUUGUCUAUAUGGUAACAAAGGAGCUAAAGGGGUUUAAAAGGGGUGGAGUGGUUCAUUUGUGCAGUGUAAUUUACUAUGUUGAGUUUUCUUUAUAUUUUGGGUUUAUGAGGUGUGUAUGGGAAGGCACUCUCUCUCUUAGAUUUUUCGGAGGAGUUCAAGAUUGGGUUUAUUUUCAGACAUACUAAUGCUUGACUUUUUAUAUAGGUAUUUCCAUCUUGGUGACUUUCUCUCUAGGGUCUGAUGUCUGUUAGUUGUUCUUUUUCCCCCCUUUUUCCCAAGGAGGAGGGGAGUAGGGCUUUUCAUCUUUGUGUAUUAAUGGUAGGUUUUGAUAGUGGGUUCUGCCCCCUUCGAUAAUUUUUUUAAUAAAAAAAAGUACUUAUAGAAAAGAUAGUAUUCGAGGCCCCAAAAACAUUCUGCCUCGAAAACAGCCCAAUUUGAUAAACUCCAUGAUUCUUUGAAUUUUAUUUUUCAUGAAAAUUAUCAUGCAUAUUAUCAGAUAUAUAUACUUGUUGAAUGCUUAAUAAUACAAAAAAUUGCAGUAGCAGUGGCAAAGUUUAUACCGAUGAUUCUCUUGCAGGUCUUGAAGUUGUUGCCUUAGCAUUGCUGCCUCCCUUUGCCACAACUGUAAGUAAAAGUAGCAAAUUUAUUUAUGUAACAAUGCAUUAGAUCAGCAUGGCUAAUGGGACUCGUCUCUUAAAAAGAUUAACAAGUUCACUUAAACUUACGGGUUAAAUGCUUUUUUGGUCACUGUACUUUAUAUCAACUUACAAGUGAGUCACUUAACCGUUUUUUCUUCCAGUCAACUCACUAUACUUUUGUUUACUUACAAACUGUUAGAAAAUCCGUUAAAUCAUGUUGACUUUAAAUGAAAAUACACAUAAGCGGCUGAGUUGUAAAAAAAAAAUCUCAAUGUGUCAAAGAUUGUUAGAAAAAGUCACAUUUGUUAAUGAUUUUUUUUUACAACUCAGCCGCUUAUGUGUAUUUUCAUUUAAAGUCAACAUGAUUUAACGGAUUUUCUAAUAGUUUGUAAGUAAACAAAAGUAUAGUAAGUUUACUGUAAGAAAAAACGGUUGAGUGACUUACUUGUAAAUUGACAUAAAGUACAGUGACUAAAAAAACAUUUAACCCCUUAAACUUACUGAUCAUUUUUGUCAAUAAAAUGAAAACAUGCUAAUGAAAACCAUUUAAAGCUAUGGGACCAAUUGAUAAACAUGUUUUAAACUAACCGCAUAUUAGUUUGUUCUACGUGUGUGUUUCCACGUAGGAUGGAUGGAUGCAUAAAUUAGUUGGGAGCUUUUAGAAAAUUAAAUCAUUUAGAAUCUUGAAAAUUAUUCUAAAUGUUCGUGAUGGAUAGGUGAUAAUGAUAUAUUCUUAUUUGCGUUGCUAACGUCAUUAGGAGCUCUUAAGGAAAGCUAUUAAGGUGCUCUAUCCUCUCCGAAGUCGAGGAAGCUUUAAAGAAGAUGAAACCAAGUAAAGCUAUGGGGCUUGAUGGUGUACCUAGUGAAGUUUGGUGUUGCUUGGAGUGUGUGGCCUUAGGUUGGUCGACUCUUACAAACUAAAAUGAUACUCGAAGAGUAGAGUAUGUUGAUGCCAAUUUAGAUAGUUGAUGAAAAGGUAUUGGGGACCUACAUUUGGUGUUUAUCGAUAUAGACAAGACAUCAUAGGGUUGCGGGGAAGGUCUUUUAGUGUCUUCUUGUGACGAAAAAAGUGCAUACUAAGUAUGUUGAUGUGAUUAAGUACAAGGAGAAUGUAUUCUCAUAAAAAGAAAAUGAAAACUAUACAAUGGAAGAAACAUGCCAAGCCUCAAUGUAACCCCACUUUCCAAUUAUGUAUAACAUUAAGGGGGACUCCAGUCACUCCACCAGAAAGCUCUCACUGAGGGAGAUGAGUAAGUGCAGAAGGAAACUAUCCCAUAGCAAGUGGAAACUUGAAGACAGUACAUACAAAAUUCUUGCAUUCCUUUUUCCACACUCAUAAAAUAGUAGUAAAACUAGCACAUCUCCAUAGGAUCAUUCCGUUCUUGCAACUGCCAAUUCCACAUAACCUACUCAGAAGCCACACAAAGAACACCAAAGCCACUACACCAUAAGGCAGUAAAUAAAUAGAGAGAUCGCAAAAUGCACAUUUGUAAAUAAGUCUUUGUAGUGCCUACGGCUGUAUUGCAUGUUGUUAGUGUUAAGCCUAUGAAGAACCAGAGACUAUCCUUGCAAAAGUCUCAAUUUUUGGAGUCGUUGCUUUUCAAAUGUUAGAUGAGAUGCUUAAUAGUAGAAUCAACAAUUGUGUAAGUAAGAUGAGAAUGACUGACAAGAAUAGUUUCAAGAAGGAUCUAGAGACCAAAUAUGCGUACUCCUAGAAAAUGACCAGCCUACUCAAAUAUGGGAGAAUUGUACUGAGACGAGAGAUAAAAGAGAUUGUCAUUAUAUCUUGAAAGAGGAACUACCUCAACCAAAAACAGAUGGUG